GCGAGCGUAGUUCAGUGGUAGAACACAACCUUGCCAAGGUUGCUAUGCGGGUUCGAUUCCCGUCGCUCGCUCCA
RNAcentral lists this transfer RNA (74 nucleotides) under Firmicutes bacterium CAG:449. RNAcentral describes it as "transfer RNA-Gly(GCC)". It matches the Rfam family "tRNA". From Rfam's summary of the family: Transfer RNA (tRNA) molecules are approximately 80 nucleotides in length. Their secondary structure includes four short double-helical elements and three loops (D, anti-codon, and T loops). Further hydrogen bonds mediate the characteristic L-shaped molecular structure. tRNAs have two regions of fundamental functional importance: the anti-codon, which is responsible for specific mRNA codon recognition, and the 3' end, to which the tRNAs corresponding amino acid is attached (by aminoacyl-tRNA synthetases). tRNAs cope with the degeneracy of the genetic code in two manners: having more than one tRNA (with a specific anti-codon) for a particular amino acid; and 'wobble' base-pairing, i.e. permitting non-standard base-pairing at the 3rd anti-codon position. The record is from RNAcentral. RNAcentral also lists the same sequence under 3 other names. Lineage: Bacteria; Bacillati; Bacillota.